This 215-nucleotide long non-coding RNA is filed under the name Ananas comosus (pineapple). RNAcentral describes it as "long non-coding RNA (ACOM_LNC023485)". Lineage: Eukaryota; Viridiplantae; Streptophyta; Magnoliopsida; Poales; Bromeliaceae. The record is from RNAcentral.
GGAAAAACUUUGUCCGUUCGGCAGUCUGUUGGCGUGCCAGAAUCCGAUCAAAAAGGCGGAGCUCGGGAUGUGACAGAUUAAAUGGUAUUAGAGCAUAAAGAGAAUAAUGAAAACUGUUUAGAUGGACCUAGGGGACCUAGGAUAGUAAACCAUAGAGAUUAAGGCUCGUGAGAGACGAGAAUCUUGAUCUGUGGCGAGAGGUUAAACCGAUUGGG